This 484-nucleotide ribosomal RNA is filed under the name uncultured bacterium. RNAcentral's name for it is "partial 16S ribosomal RNA". It matches the Rfam family "Bacterial small subunit ribosomal RNA", at positions 30 to 507 of the family's 1533-position model. The record is from RNAcentral.
AUUGAACGCUGGCGGCAGGCCUAACACAUGCAAGUCGAGCGGCAGAAGGGAGCUUGCUCCUGGAUUCAGGGGCGGACGGGUGAGUAAUGCCUAGGAAUCUCCCUGGUUGUGGGGGCUAACGUCCGGAAACGGGCGCUAAUACCGCAUACGUCCUGAGGGAGGACGUGGGGGAUCUUCGGAUCUUACGCCAUCAGAUGAUCCUAUGUCGGGUUAGCUAGUUGGUGGGGUAAAGGCCUACCAAGGCGACGAUCCGUAACUGGUCUGAGAGGAUGAUCAGUCACACUGGAACUGAGACACGGUCCAGACUCCUACGGGAGGCAGCAGUGGGGAAUAUUGGACAAUGGGCGAAAGCCUGAUCCAGCCAUACCGCGUGUGUGAAGAAGGUCUUCGGAUUGUAAAGCACUUUAAUUUGGGAGGAAGAGCAGUAAGUUAAUACCUUGCUGUUUUGACGGUACCAACAGAAUAAGCACCGGCUAACUUCGUG